AUUGAACGCUGGCGGCAGGCCUAACACAUGCAAGUCGAACGGUAACAGGAAGAAGCUUGCUUCUUUGCUGACGAGUGGCGGACGGGUGAGUAAUGUCUGGGAAACUGCCUGAUGGAGGGGGAUAACUACUGGAAACGGUAGCUAAUACCGCAUAACGUCUCAAGACCAAGGAGGGGGACCUUCGGGCCUCUUGCCAUCGGAUGUGCCCAGAUGGGAUUAGCUUGUAGGUGGGGUAACGGCUCACCUAGGCGACGAUCUCUAUCUGGUCUGAGAGGAUGACCAGCCACACUGGAAGUGAGACACGGUCCAGACUCCUACGGGAGGCAGCAGUGGGGAAUAUUGCACAAUGGGCGCAAGCCUGAUGCAGCCAUGCCGCGUGUAUGAAGAAGGCCUUCGGGUUGUAAAGUACUUUCAGCGGGGAGGAAGGGAGUAAAGUUAAUACCUUUGCUCAUUGACGUUACCCGCAGAAGAAGCACCGGCUAACUCCGUG
This 490-nucleotide ribosomal RNA is filed under the name uncultured bacterium. RNAcentral describes it as "partial 16S ribosomal RNA". It matches the Rfam family "Bacterial small subunit ribosomal RNA", at positions 30 to 507 of the family's 1533-position model. The record is from RNAcentral.